Molecule: non-coding RNA, 110 nt
Organism: Capsicum annuum
Lineage: Eukaryota; Viridiplantae; Streptophyta; Magnoliopsida; Solanales; Solanaceae
Source: Rfam
GGGAAGUGAUGAGUGGUCAUGACUUGCAUUUUAUACAAAUGCAAGAGGGGCGUUCCAGCCCAGCCUGGUUACGACAAAUUGGGCGCCCUCACUUAUACCAAUCUGAUCCC